Molecule: unclassified non-coding RNA, 336 nt
Filed under: soil metagenome
Description: partial contains 5.8S ribosomal RNA, internal transcribed spacer 2, and large subunit ribosomal RNA
Rfam family: 5.8S ribosomal RNA (bases 1-120)
Source: RNAcentral
GAUGAAGAACGUAGCAAAAUGCGAUAAGUAAUGUGAAUUGCAGAAUUCCGUGAAUCAUCGAAUCUUUGAACGCACAUUGCGCCCCCUGGUAUUCCGGGGGGCAUGCCUGUCCGAGCGUCAUUGCAACCUUCAAGCGCGGCUUGUGUGUUGGGUCUCGUCCCCCGUGGACGGGCCCGAAAGGCAGUGGCGGCGUCCCGACAUGGUGCCCGAGCGUAUGGGAAUCCUCUUCCGCUCGAAUCGGCCCAUGCGGCGCUGGUCGUAACCAAAUUUUUUACCGGUUGACCUCGGAUCAGGUAGGGAUACCCGCUGAACUUAAGCAUAUCAAUAAGCGGAGGA